AAUAUGUGACGUGUUACAUGUCUUCUCAAACAUAUGAAUCUGAAAUGUGUAUUUAAUGUCUAUGAGCCUCUUUCUUUCAUUACCUGAGCUACCAUGAGACGGACCAGCAUGCUUAGCGCAGGGCUGCUCAUAUCCAGACUGGGAGCAUGAGAGAAAUUCUCCUGCAGAUAAACAGACGGAUCCGGAUGAAUCAGUACCUGCUGCUCUCUGGAAAGCAUCGAUAGCGCUCUGAAUGCCAGUCAGUGUCGAGCGAUCUUGUCUGGCUCCGAUCUGAGUGUAAAGUGCUCCGAUGUUGAACAGAACGCUCCCUUUCUCGAAGGCCAGCGCUCUCUGGACUGAAGGAACGCCGCAGUGUGUCUCACCAGUGAAAAUGAACUCCCAGACUUCUGUGCGGUGAAUAGAAGCGCUGAUCCAGGAAAUAGAGCUGGUUAUAAUAGUCCAUCAGCAGCUCCUGACCCGCUUCGUUCCUGCUGGGAGUUCGCAUGGACUACGGAGAUAACAGAAAGUCUACCCAGUUAUUAUCAAAGUGUGAUACCAGGCUAUCCGGAAGGCUGAAUACUGCAGAAGGUAUUUCAAGUUCACUGCCAAGUUAUCCAGAAACUUAUCAGGUAACCAAGUAAACAAUGUUUGAAUAAAGAGAUCUAGUAAGUGCAUGUGUA
Long non-coding RNA from Carassius gibelio (silver crucian carp), 659 nucleotides. RefSeq lists it as uncharacterized. Lineage: Eukaryota; Metazoa; Chordata; Actinopteri; Cypriniformes; Cyprinidae. The transcript has 4 exons. The record is from RefSeq and is a predicted model, not a curated record.